Xiphophorus hellerii (green swordtail) is the source of this 967-nucleotide long non-coding RNA. RefSeq lists it as uncharacterized. The transcript has 2 exons. The record is from RefSeq and is a predicted model, not a curated record. Lineage: Eukaryota; Metazoa; Chordata; Actinopteri; Cyprinodontiformes; Poeciliidae.
CGUGUAGUGGUAUAGAAAUAUACAUAUUCCUAUACAAAUAGUUUCCAGGUGUGACGCUCCGGUUGGGUAAAGUGGGCGGGGUAUAUAAGCGGCCGCUGUGCCCAGUCAGACAUGUGUCUUCCUCAUCAUCCACUGUGUGGCCCGCGUCUCUUGGGUUCCGGCGGAAGAAAAGGCAACAUAUCGCCAGUGUGGUGCAUGCUGUUUUGAUUCCCUGGUGGUGAAACGCUAUUGUGCUGCUCUCCUCUGCUUCCUCGUUCAGCGAGUGUGUGUGUGCGUUUUUGCCUGGAUUGACAGGUAAAUAAAUAACGCUCAUUGGAAGCUCCAGUUUGUUGCAGUUCUGUCUAAAAUGAUUAACUUUCAUAGGUCUCCCCAUAUUCGAACCAUUGCUGCUCUUUUGGAUCCCGGAUUUUGCACGUCAUCAAACUCGGACUGUGGUGGCGCCUACACGCCUUAAUUGAAGCGGUGUUUGGGGUGUGGCAUCGGCGCGCCGAGCUCGCCUCCUGCCGUGGCGUGACCAGAGCCACACCGGAUCUUAAUCUUUAACUUGGAUUUUCUAUUUUUUUUCUUUAUUUAGUUUCCAGCCCUUUGGUUCCUUUAGAUAAUUGUUUAUUUAUCUGGGCGGAUAUUGUUUUUUCUUUUUGUAUUAAGUUUAAGGUUGUUGUAUUUGUUAACUGUUUUUCUUUUGUUUGCAGUUGCUGAGGUCCGGUGGCGGUGCUGGUGUGGUGACGGUGUCUCCCUCUUUUUUGUGCCGUGAUUCCUGAGUUUGGGUUGUCUCACUGCGUCUGGUGCUUUUACGGUUUUUUUGUUUGCUGUGUUUGGUGGAUGCCGUCCCUAUAGUGGCCCCUUCUGCCGGUGACCUCAGCUACUAUAGUUUUUUUCUGUUUUUCCUUAGUUUUUUUGUUGUAAAGAACUGGUUUUAAAAAGAGUUUUAAAAGAAUUUAAUAAAUAGCUUUUUGUGUAUUUGCAA